AUGGGAGACGGGGGAGCUGCGCGGCAUGGCGCCGAAAGGUAUUGCCGUGAGGAAAGUCCGGGCUUCGAAGGGCAAGGAUAACGGAUAACGUCCGCCGGGGGAAACCCCAGGGAAAGUGCAACAGAAAGCAAACCGCCUCUUUUUGAGGUAAGGCUGA
RNAcentral lists this RNase P RNA (157 nucleotides) under Clostridiales bacterium. RNAcentral's name for it is "partial RNase P RNA component class A". It matches the Rfam family "Bacterial RNase P class A", at positions 1 to 157 of the family's 367-position model. Rfam says of the family: Ribonuclease P (RNase P) is a ubiquitous endoribonuclease, found in archaea, bacteria and eukarya as well as chloroplasts and mitochondria. Its best characterised activity is the generation of mature 5'-ends of tRNAs by cleaving the 5'-leader elements of precursor-tRNAs. Lineage: Bacteria; Bacillati; Bacillota; Clostridia; Eubacteriales. The record is from RNAcentral.